UGGGUUGGGAUUUGUCCUCAUGGAUGGCCUU
Molecule: non-coding RNA, 31 nt
Filed under: Rattus norvegicus (Norway rat)
Lineage: Eukaryota; Metazoa; Chordata; Mammalia; Rodentia; Muridae
Source: RNAcentral